Molecule: small RNA, 321 nt
Filed under: Jaculus jaculus (lesser Egyptian jerboa)
Lineage: Eukaryota; Metazoa; Chordata; Mammalia; Rodentia; Dipodidae
Description: 7SK RNA (ENSJJAG00000008818.1)
Rfam family: 7SK RNA
About the family: 7SK was discovered as an abundant small nuclear RNA in the mid-70s but a possible function has only recently been suggested. Two independent studies have found that 7SK RNA binds the CDK9/cyclin T complex (known as elongation factor P-TEFb). P-TEFb activates transcription by phosphorylating the C-terminal domain of RNA polymerase II.
Source: Rfam by way of RNAcentral
GGAUGUGAGGGCGGUCUGGCUGAGACAUCUGUCACCCCAUUGAUCGCCAGGGUUGAUUCGGCUGAUCUGGUUGCUUGGACGGGGGUCCCCUUCCUCCCUCGAGCUCCGCGUGCGCCCCUCCCCAAGCUGCGCGAGGAGGACGAUCCCCCCACCCCCGACCUCCCCGCAUAGAGGCGGCCCAGUCUUUGGUCAAGGGUACAGAGUAGCUGCGCCCCCCGCCCCAACCUCCAACAUUUUCUGUUUGUAAAAACCACACUGCCCCUCAUUCCACCACGUUAACACAGAAAAAUGAGGACAUUCAAGUUCUAUUCGCCUGAGUUU